RNAcentral lists this long non-coding RNA (338 nucleotides) under Malus domestica (apple). RNAcentral describes it as "long non-coding RNA (MDOM_LNC002690)". The record is from RNAcentral. Lineage: Eukaryota; Viridiplantae; Streptophyta; Magnoliopsida; Rosales; Rosaceae.
AAGAAGAAUAUCACCAAACUGUAGUACUGAAUGACACAAGUGGACAACCUAUUGAACAGAAUACCACCAAACUAUAGUAUUGAAUGACACAAGUGGACAACCUAUUGAAUGCCUUGUAAAUCACAACCAAUUACAAUAGAAGGAUGCAAUUAUAUAAAUAUACUUGUAUUAGCUUUAAUAUAUAUAGACGCUUAUGCUCAUUUCCUUGUUUUAUGUUAUAAGAGUCAACUAAUAAAUCUUAAAUUUGAAAUCUGUCACUUAAAAAAAAUUCAUUGAAAUCUGUUACUUAAAAAAAUCCAUUAAAAUUCCCUGAAAUCUAAAUUGACUACGCCCAAAAA